Molecule: ribosomal RNA, 356 nt
Filed under: uncultured eukaryote
Lineage: Eukaryota
Description: SSU rRNA
Rfam family: Eukaryotic small subunit ribosomal RNA
Source: RNAcentral
AGCUCUCAUACUGCAUUGAAUUGCUGUUGCGGUUAAAAAGUUCGUAGUUGCAGAUGGGAAUGUAGUAGUAGUUUGUCUUAUUGACAACACUAAUAUUGCAUCCAGGAGGGUAUGAUAUACUUGUAUAUUAAACCCCGUUACUUUGAGUAAAUCAGAGUGCUUAGAACAAGCGUAUUGCUUGAAUGGUUGUGCAUGGAAUAACAAUAAAUGAUAAUUUAUUUACAUUUGUUGGUUUUAAAAUAGAUUAUAUGAUUAAAAGGAAUAAACGGGGGUAAAAGUAUCAUAAGGCGAGAGGUGAAAUUCGUGGACCCUUAUGAGACUACCUAAAGCGAAAGCAUUUACCAAGAAUGUUUUCA